AGCGAACGCUGGCGGCAGGCUUAACACAUGCAAGUCGAGCGGGCACUUUCGGGUGUCAGCGGCGGACGGGUGCGUAACGCGUGGGAACGUGCCCUCUGGUUCGGAAUAACUCAGGGAAACUUGAGCUAAUACCGGAUACGCCCUUUUGGGGAAAGGCUUGCUGCCGGAGGAUCGGCCCGCGUCUGAUUAGCUAGUUGGUGAGGUAACGGCUCACCAAGGCGACGAUCAGUAGCUGGUCUGAGAGGAUGAUCAGCCACACUGGGACUGAGACACGGCCCAGACUCCUACGGGAAGCAGCAGUGGGGAAUAUUGGACAAUGGGCGCAAGCCUGAUCCAGCCAUGCCGCGUGAGUGAUGAAGGCCUUAGGGUUGUAAAGCUCUUUUAUCCGGGACGAUAAUGACGGUACCGGAGGAAUAAGCCCCGGCUAACUUCGUG
This 435-nucleotide ribosomal RNA is filed under the name uncultured bacterium. Its description in RNAcentral is "partial 16S ribosomal RNA". It matches the Rfam family "Bacterial small subunit ribosomal RNA", at positions 29 to 507 of the family's 1533-position model. The record is from RNAcentral.